Molecule: ribosomal RNA, 1199 nt
Filed under: Pseudomonas sp. TDA1
Lineage: Bacteria; Pseudomonadati; Pseudomonadota; Gammaproteobacteria; Pseudomonadales; Pseudomonadaceae
Description: partial 23S ribosomal RNA
Rfam family: Bacterial large subunit ribosomal RNA
Source: RNAcentral
AAGGACUUGCUCCGUAAGCCCAUGCCGGUCGAAGAUACCAGGCCGCUGCGACUGUUUAUUAAAAACACAGCACUCUGCAAACACGAAAGUGGACGUAUAGGGUGUGACGCCUGCCCGGUGCCGGAAGGUUAAUUGAUGGGGUUAGCGCAAGCGAAGCUCUUGAUCGAAGCCCCGGUAAACGGCGGCCGUAACUAUAACGGUCCUAAGGUAGCGAAAUUCCUUGUCGGGUAAGUUCCGACCUGCACGAAUGGCGUAACGAUGGCGGCGCUGUCUCCACCCGAGACUCAGUGAAAUUGAAAUCGCUGUGAAGAUGCAGUGUAUCCGCGGCUAGACGGAAAGACCCCGUGAACCUUUACUAUAGCUUUGCACUGGACUUUGAAUUUGCUUGUGUAGGAUAGGUGGGAGGCUUUGAAGUGGGGACGCCAGUUCUCAUGGAGCCAUCCUUGAAAUACCACCCUGGCAACUUUGAGGUUCUAACUCAGGUCCGUUAUCCGGAUCGAGGACAGUGUAUGGUGGGUAGUUUGACUGGGGCGGUCUCCUCCCAAAGAGUAACGGAGGAGUACGAAGGUGCGCUCAGACCGGUCGGAAAUCGGUCGUAGAGUAUAAAGGCAAAAGCGCGCUUGACUGCGAGACAAACACGUCGAGCAGGUACGAAAGUAGGUCUUAGUGAUCCGGUGGUUCUGUAUGGAAGGGCCAUCGCUCAACGGAUAAAAGGUACUCCGGGGAUAACAGGCUGAUACCGCCCAAGAGUUCAUAUCGACGGCGGUGUUUGGCACCUCGAUGUCGGCUCAUCACAUCCUGGGGCUGAAGCCGGUCCCAAGGGUAUGGCUGUUCGCCAUUUAAAGUGGUACGCGAGCUGGGUUUAGAACGUCGUGAGACAGUUCGGUCCCUAUCUGCCGUGGACGUUUGAGAUUUGAGAGGGGCUGCUCCUAGUACGAGAGGACCGGAGUGGACGAACCUCUGGUGUUCCGGUUGUCACGCCAGUGGCAUUGCCGGGUAGCUAUGUUCGGAAGAGAUAACCGCUGAAAGCAUCUAAGCGGGAAACUUGCCUCAAGAUGAGAUCUCACUGGGAUCUAGAAUCCCCUAAAGGGCCGUCGAAGACUACGACGUUGAUAGGUUGGGUGUGUAAGCGCUGUGAGGCGUUGAGCUAACCAAUACUAAUUGCCCGUGAGGCUUGACCAUAUAACACCCAAGCAAUU